UUGUACCUCCUUCCUUUUUUUUUAUUCUUCAUCUUCAUCUUCAUCUUCAUCUUCUUCUUCUUCAUCUCUCUUACCAUUUCUACUCGUUUAUCCUUCAAUUCUCUUCUUUAUUUUUCUCUUUUUCUUCAGUGAUCCUCUUCAUUCUGAAGUCUUGGGGGAUUCACUUCAGAUUCUUAUAUAUACACAUACAUAUAUAUAUAUGUAUAUACGUGUGUACAUGAACGUGGACUCUAGAGAGCCUUCAUCGGUGUCUCGUUUCCUCACGUAUUUCUCCGUUUCCUCCUCCUGGGCGUAUAUACUACAUACUUUCUCCUCUCCGACGAGAGGACAGCAAACGAUUCGUUCAAGUGGUAAUGAUAGAUAUUUUGCAUAAUCUAAAAACGAGAUAGGAAUUAAUUUAUUAUUGUAAACGAACGAGAAAACGUUCCAAGUCAGAGUGCCACGUACCACGUUUUGGCUUGUGUUAGUGAGAAAUAAAAAGGAAAAGAAGAACGAAGAGGAGGAAGAGGAGGAGGAGGAGGAGAAGGAGCAAGAAGACGAAAAAAAAAGAAAGGAAAAAAAAAAGGAAUAUCUUUUAAUGGAAUUCUAAUGCGAUUAUAAUGCUUAGUCUUGAACAUUCGCACGCAAGUGCUACUACUAAAGCAUGUUACCACCACUUGUUGUUGUUCAUGUUAUUUCUCGCGUGAUGAUCAAGGUAUCAUAAGGUUCAAUUGAAUUUUUUGAUAAUAGAUCUAAAGAAAAUGCAUAUUUAUAUAGUAACACAAGUGGAACAAAUAUUUUAUACUACUCUGGGUCAAGUUUAUACUACUUUUUAAUUGUACAUAUAUGAAAUUAUUUUGUAACAAACAAAUCAAUGAAUUUACAAAAUUACAAAGGGUAUAGGGAGUGUUAGAAUUGUUUAAUUACACAAUGAGUUCGCGAUUAAAUUUAAAAUGAUUGAAAUUUUUAAUUUGAAUUAUCAAAAAUAUUGCACAGUUGUAAUUAACAAUUGUUACAAACUAAUAAUUCAUAUUUUACAAAAACAACCCCUAUAUCUUUUUAAGUAGUUGUAAAUUUCAUUCCAUUUGAUCGAGUUUGAUGUAACCCGUAACCUUAAAAGGGUCUGCUUAACAUCAUACGAGAAAAUCAGCGAAAGUGUACGACACGACUACGACGACGAUUUCUUUCGAAUUAAACUCGUUCUCACCUUUCCACAUCGACAUUACUGAUGAAUAUGUCAAGAUAUUAGGACGAGUUUGAUUGUCGAAAAGAAAAAAA
This is a long non-coding RNA of Polistes dominula (European paper wasp), 1257 nucleotides long. NCBI's taxonomy places the organism in Eukaryota, Metazoa, Arthropoda, Insecta, Hymenoptera, Vespidae. The record is from RefSeq and is a predicted model, not a curated record.